AACCAGCUCUUCAAGUGGUCGGGAUAAUUAUUGGGCUUAAAGUGUCCGUAGCCGGAUUAGUAAGUUCCUGGUAAAAUCGGGUAGCUUAACUAUCUGUAUGCUAGGAAUACUGCUAUUCUAGAGGGCGGGAGAGGUCUGAGGUACUACAGGGGUAGGGGUGAAAUCUUAUAAUCCUUGUAGGACCACCAGUGGCGAAGGCGUCAGACUGGAACGCGCCUGACGGUGAGGGACGAAAGCUAGGGGAGCGAGCCGGAUUAGAUACCCGGGUAGUCCUAGCCGUAAACGAUGCAUACUAGGUGAUGGCACGGCCAUGAGCCGUGUCAGUGCCGUAGGGAAACCGUUAAGUGUGCCGCCUGGGAAGUACGGUCGCAAGGCUAAAACUUAAAGGAAUUGGCGGGGGAGCACCACAAGGGGUGAAGCCUGCGGUUU
RNAcentral lists this ribosomal RNA (429 nucleotides) under uncultured archaeon. Its description in RNAcentral is "bacterial SSU rRNA". It matches the Rfam family "Archaeal small subunit ribosomal RNA", at positions 474 to 903 of the family's 1478-position model. The record is from RNAcentral.